Molecule: small RNA, 586 nt
Filed under: Pongo abelii (Sumatran orangutan)
Lineage: Eukaryota; Metazoa; Chordata; Mammalia; Primates; Hominidae
Description: processed transcript
Source: RNAcentral
CAAAAUUCAUCCAUAAGAUGUUGGAUGGUAGAACACUUUCCUGUCUCCUGACUGGAUUGUUCCACCCAGCGCCAUGUGUCCAGGCCCAUCCAGGUUGUGGCAGCUGUUGGUGCUCCCCUCCUUUUCAUGGCUGAGUAGUCUAUCAUCUGGAAGGAGCACAUUUUGUCUGUCGGCUCCUCCAUUGGUGGACAUUUGGCCUGUGUCCACCUUGGGGCUGCGUCAAGUAAGCUAGAGAAAAGCAAAUGCUAUUAAGAUGCUAGGCAUGGUGGCUCACGCCUGUAAUCCUAGCACUUUGGGAGGCCGAGGCGGGCGGAUCACGAGGCCAGGGGUUUGAGACCAGCCUGACCAACAUGGUGAAACCCCGUCUCUACUAAAAAUACAAAAAUUAGCUGGAUGUGAUGGCACGCACCUGUAAUCCCAGCUACUCGGGAGGCUGAGACCAAGCUGUACACCCUGCCUGCAAGCCACGCCACGCGCGUGUAUGAGAUGCUGGUCAGCCACAUUCAGCUCCACUACAAGCACAGCUACACCCUGCCAAUUGCGAGCAGCAUCCGGCUGCAGGCCUUUGACUUCCUGUUGCUGCUGC